UACAGAGGGGGCAAGCGUUGUUCGGAAUUACUGGGCGUAAAGGGCGCGUAGGCGGCCCGCUAAGUCGAACGUGAAAUCCCCGAGCUCAACUCGGGAACUGCGUCCGAUACUGGCGGGCUUGAAUCCGGGAGAGGGAUGCGGAAUUCCAGGUGUAGCAGUGAAAUGCGUAGAGAUGUGGAGGAACACCGAUGGCGAAGGCAGCCUCCUGGGCCAGCACUGACGCUCAUGCACGAAAGCGUGGGGAGCAAACAGG
RNAcentral lists this ribosomal RNA (253 nucleotides) under uncultured bacterium. RNAcentral's name for it is "partial 16S ribosomal RNA". It matches the Rfam family "Bacterial small subunit ribosomal RNA", at positions 524 to 776 of the family's 1533-position model. The record is from RNAcentral.